AGUGAACGCUGGCGGUAGGCCUAACACAUGCAAGUCGAACGGCAGCACAGUAAGAGCUUGCCCUUACGGGUGGCGAGUGGCGGACGGGUGAGGAAUACGUCGGAAUCUACUUUUUCGUGGGGGAUAACGUAGGGAAACUUACGCUAAUACCGCAUACGACCUACGGGUGAAAGCAGGGGAUCUUCGGACCUUGCGCGAUUGAAUGAGCCGAUGUCGGAUUAGCUAGUUGGCGGGGUAAAGGCCCACCAAGGCGACGAUCCGUAGCUGGUCUGAGAGGAUGAUCAGCCACACUGGAACUGAGACACGGUCCAGACUCCUACGGGAGGCAGCAGUGGGGAAUAUUGGACAAUGGGCGCAAGCCUGAUCCAGCCAUACCGCGUGGGUGAAGAAGGCCUUCGGGUUGUAAAGCCCUUUUGUUGGGAAAGAAAAGCAGCAGGUUAAUACCCCGCUGUUCUGACGGUACCCAAAGAAUAAGCACCGGCUAACUUCGUG
RNAcentral lists this ribosomal RNA (492 nucleotides) under uncultured bacterium. Its description in RNAcentral is "partial 16S ribosomal RNA". It matches the Rfam family "Bacterial small subunit ribosomal RNA", at positions 29 to 507 of the family's 1533-position model. The record is from RNAcentral.